GCCAGGUGCAGUGGCGUGCAUCUGUAAUCCCAGCGUUUUGGGAGGCUGAAGCAGGAUUGCUAGUUCAAUGCCAGCCUCAGCAAUUUAGUGAGACCUUGUCUCAA
RNAcentral lists this small RNA (104 nucleotides) under Marmota monax (woodchuck). The record is from RNAcentral. Lineage: Eukaryota; Metazoa; Chordata; Mammalia; Rodentia; Sciuridae.